RNAcentral lists this transfer RNA (78 nucleotides) under Vibrio cholerae O1 biovar El Tor. Its description in RNAcentral is "tRNA-Met". It matches the Rfam family "tRNA". From Rfam's summary of the family: Transfer RNA (tRNA) molecules are approximately 80 nucleotides in length. Their secondary structure includes four short double-helical elements and three loops (D, anti-codon, and T loops). Lineage: Bacteria; Pseudomonadati; Pseudomonadota; Gammaproteobacteria; Vibrionales; Vibrionaceae. The record is from RNAcentral.
CGUCGGGGUGGAGCAGCUUGGUAGCUCGUCGGGCUCAUAACCCGAAGGUCGUUGGUUCAAAUCCAGCCCCCGCAACCA